GCCUAAGAAAGAGGAAGAGGGCUGUAUCAGAGAUACAUAUUUAUUUCAAAGGGAAAUUGUAUACUUAAUGGAUUUGAUAACAAUUCUAACAACAUGAGUGAGGUUGAUGUCUUGUAAUAGCCUAACAGGCUGCACAAUACAUUGUUGACUGGCAGAGCUUCGUUGUUCGGGAGCACAUUAAGAGUAUGUGCCGAGGGUGUUAACAAACCAAAGGCUGCCACAGCAUGACCUUUCUUCACUGACGCUGUCCGGAGGAAGGACCACAUCUGGAUUCAUCAUCCAUGUGC
Molecule: non-coding RNA, 287 nt
Organism: Pogona vitticeps (central bearded dragon)
Lineage: Eukaryota; Metazoa; Chordata; Lepidosauria; Squamata; Agamidae
Source: RefSeq, a predicted model, not a curated record